This 555-nucleotide ribosomal RNA is filed under the name Penicillium polonicum. Its description in RNAcentral is "eukaryotic LSU rRNA". The stretch from base 175 to 327 matches the Rfam family "5.8S ribosomal RNA". Lineage: Eukaryota; Fungi; Ascomycota; Eurotiomycetes; Eurotiales; Aspergillaceae. The record is from RNAcentral.
AACGGGUGAGGGACUUUGGGUCACCUCCCACCCGUGUUUAUUUUACCUUGUUGCUUCGGCGGGCCCGCCUUUACUGGCCGCCGGGGGGCUCACGCCCCCGGGCCCGCGCCCGCCGAAGACACCCCCGAACUCUGUCUGAAGAUUGAAGUCUGAGUGAAAAUAUAAAUUAUUUAAAACUUUCAACAACGGAUCUCUUGGUUCCGGCAUCGAUGAAGAACGCAGCGAAAUGCGAUACGUAAUGUGAAUUGCAAAUUCAGUGAAUCAUCGAGUCUUUGAACGCACAUUGCGCCCCCUGGUAUUCCGGGGGGCAUGCCUGUCCGAGCGUCAUUGCUGCCCUCAAGCCCGGCUUGUGUGUUGGGCCCCGUCCUCCGAUUCCGGGGGACGGGCCCGAAAGGCAGCGGCGGCACCGCGUCCGGUCCUCGAGCGUAUGGGGCUUUGUCACCCGCUCUGUAGGCCCGGCCGGCGCUUGCCGAUCAACCCAAAUUUUUAUCCAGGUUGACCUCGGAUCAGGUAGGGAUACCCGCUGAACUUAAGCAUAUCAAUAAGCCGGAGGAA